This is a long non-coding RNA of Hippoglossus stenolepis (Pacific halibut), 822 nucleotides long. RefSeq lists it as uncharacterized. The record is from RefSeq and is a predicted model, not a curated record. The transcript is spliced from 3 exons. Lineage: Eukaryota; Metazoa; Chordata; Actinopteri; Pleuronectiformes; Pleuronectidae.
CUGUCACUGUCAUUGUUGGUUUUCAAAUCCUCCCUCUGAUCCGUCCCGUCACUCGUUCCACGCGUGCUCUUCGGCAAAGCUCAGCCCGCAGAGCCUUGACAUUAGAGCGUUUUAGGAAUCGUCUACCUGACAGCUCCCUAAUGAUUUCUUUUGGCCGCCCUGUCCUCGGCUGUCUGCUAAUAAGUAAUUACGGGCCCGACGCAGCUCGGAUCAGUCUUUCAGUGGGAACACAUUCAUCUGCUUGUGUGCUGGUGUUGGGUGUGCGUGUCAAAAUCACACUUUUCCUCUUAUUAAUCUCGGUUGUGUGUGUGCUCGCACAUUAAAACGACAAGUGGGACAGUGAUGAAAAUACACACCACCCACGGGAAAAGCAGCAAGAGAGGGCAGGAGAGGACAACGCAGCCGAUAUAUGCGUUUGAAAAUGGCAGGCCCUGAAGCAAGACUGUCAGUGCCAGUCCGCCAUGUGCCGUGUUCAUCCAAUCAGGUGCGGAGAGGGUUCCUGUUCCUGGUUCUGCGCCCCGGCACAGAAGAGCACUUGUCAGAGUAUCUGCCCUCAGUCGAACACAUUCCUCUGCCCAACAGUCCCCUUAACUUGAAAAAAAAUUAUAUUUCGCAAUGUUAAAGAAAGUAAAAAACAAAUCUUGGAUCCAGAUCCACACCAACAUUGAACAGGUUCUCAUCCUGACCCAUAGUGUUUCCUUCCAACAAGUUUCGUUGCAAUUCCUCCAAUAGUUUUUGUGUAAUCCUGCCAACUAAUAAACCAAAAAACUAGAUGAAAACUAUAAGAAGGUGAAAAAGUAUUUAUUUGGAUCCACACUAAAA